RNAcentral lists this ribosomal RNA (468 nucleotides) under uncultured bacterium. RNAcentral's name for it is "partial 16S ribosomal RNA". It matches the Rfam family "Bacterial small subunit ribosomal RNA", at positions 28 to 507 of the family's 1533-position model. The record is from RNAcentral.
GACGAACGCUGGCGGCGUGCUUAACACAUGCAAGUCGAACGGAAAGGCCCUGCGUUUGUGGGGUGCUCGAGUGGCGAACGGGUGAGUAACACGUGAGUAACCUGCCCUUGACUUUGGGAUAACUUCAGGAAACUGGGGCUAAUACCGGAUAGGAGCUCCUGCUGCAUGGUGGGGGUUGGAAAGUUUCGGCGGUUGGGGAUGGACUCGCGGCUUAUCAGCUUGUUGGUGGGGUAGUGGCUUACCAAGGCUUUGACGGGUAGCCGGCCUGAGAGGGUGACCGGCGACAUUGGGACUGAGAUACGGACCAGACGGCUACGGGAGGCAGCAGUGGAGAAUAUUGCACAAUGGGGGGAAGCCUGAUGCAGCAGCGCCGGGUGCGGGAUGACGGCCUUCGGGUUGUAAACCGCUUUCGCCUGUGACGAAGCGUGAGUGACGGUAAUGGGUAAAGAAGCACCGGCUAACUACGUG